GGCGGACCGCUCUGGGCGUGGGCGCCUCGGCUCGGGGCGGGUCCCCAGCCGGAGGCAGAUGUACGCCUGUGGCCACCCAGAAGAGGCGGCGGGGCGCCUGAGACGUUCGCUUGGGAAAAUUAGCGGCGGCGUGGUGUGAGGACUGAGCUUCGGGGUCGCGUAGCCCAGGUCUGGAGGCCCAGGCAGCCCACGCGCACGCGCACGCGCCCCGCUCUCCCGCUCCGGGACCCUCGGGACCCUUCUUCAGAGACCCGGGCGGACCAUCACCGGCUCCAUGGAGAACAUUUUGGGCUCUCAGACUUGAGUCCAGACGUGCAUCGCUUCUGGAAGCUCUGAGGGGAGCCAGCUGCCAUAUCAUGAAGACACUCAAGCAGCCCUAUGGAGAGGUCCAUAUGGAAAGGAACUGAGGCCACCUGCCAACAACCAGCACUGACUUGCCAGCAAAUUGAUCACCAGGGACUGCAUCCUGCACCUACCUUGCCAAGUUGGUUGCUGUUUGGGUUUGGCCAAUGGAAAGCACUGGCAGAAGAUAAUCUCUGAGGGCACCCAACAUGAAGUCUUCAGUAGCCUAUCAAUACUCAGCACCUUUGGUUCAGCUACUCAGUGAUGUCACGUAGGCUCCAGACUCCUCACAUUUUUCUGCUCUCAUGCUUGGUGUAUUAUAAUGUUUUUCCUCUUGGUAACAAUACAGCUGCCUCAGCUCCAAACAUCACAUCCUCAAACAACAAAGUCAAAAAGCAAGCAAGAAAGAAAGACUGAGAGCUUCUCCUCAUGUAUCUCUUUCUAUCAGAAAGAACAAUAUUUCCAGAAGCUCCUCAGUUGACUUUGAUUUUUUCUUUUGUUUCAGUGACUGCAACUGUGUCACUCACCUCUUCUAAAUUAAUCACAAUAAAAGAGAAUUGACAUUUCUAUUGAA
Molecule: long non-coding RNA, 916 nt
Organism: Cynocephalus volans (Philippine flying lemur)
Lineage: Eukaryota; Metazoa; Chordata; Mammalia; Dermoptera; Cynocephalidae
Exons: 4
Source: RefSeq, a predicted model, not a curated record